This 119-nucleotide ribosomal RNA is filed under the name Aegilops tauschii subsp. strangulata. The record is from RNAcentral. Lineage: Eukaryota; Viridiplantae; Streptophyta; Magnoliopsida; Poales; Poaceae.
GGAUGCGAUGAUACCAGCACUAAAGCACCGGAUCCCAUCAAAACUCCAAAGUUAAGCGUGCUUGGGCGAGAGUAGUACAAGGAUGGGUGACCUCCUGGGAAGUCCUCGUGUUGCAUUCC